This 2694-nucleotide long non-coding RNA is filed under the name Salmo salar (Atlantic salmon). Its description in RNAcentral is "lncRNA (ENSSSAG00000097646.1)". Lineage: Eukaryota; Metazoa; Chordata; Actinopteri; Salmoniformes; Salmonidae. The record is from RNAcentral.
GGGCAGCUCUCUCUCUCUGUUCUGGCCUGUAGUGGUGGAGAGACAGGCAGCUCUCUCCCUCUGUUCUGACCUGUAGUGAUGGAGAGACGGGCAGCUCUCUCUCUCUGUUCUGGCCUGUAGUGGUGGAGAGACAGGCAGCUCUCUCCCUCUGUUCUGGCCUGUAGUGAUGGAGAGACGGGCAGCUCUCUCUCUCUGUUCUGGCCUGUAGUGAUGGAGAGACGGGCAGCUCUCUCCCUCUGUUCUGACCUGUAGUGAUGGAGAGACGGGCAGCUCUCUCCCCCUGUAGUGAUGGAGAGACAGGCAGCUCUCUCCCUCUGUUCUGACCUGUAGUGAUGGAGAGACGGGCAGCUCUCUCCCCCUGUAGUGAUGGAGAGACGGGCAGCUCUCUCCCUCUGUUCUGGCCUGUAGUGAUGGAGAGACGGGCAGCUCUCUCCCCCUGUAGUGGUGGAGAGACAGGCAGCUCUCUCCCUCUGUUCUGGCCUGUAGUGAUGGAGAGACGGGCAGCUCUCUCUCUCUGUUCUGGCCUGUAGUGGUGGAGAGACGGGCAGCUCUCUCCCUCUGUUCUGGCCUGUAGUGGUGGAGAGACGGGCAGCUCUCUCCCUCUGUUCUGGCCUGUAGUGGUGGAGAGACGGGCAGCUCUCUCCCUCUGUUCUGGCCUGUAGUGAUGGAGAGACGGGCAGCUCUCUCUCUCUGUUCUGGCCUGUAGUGGUGGAGAGACGGGCAGCUCUCUCCCUCUGUUCUGGCCUGUAGUGAUGGAGAGACGGGCAGCUCUCUCCCUCUGUUCUGGCCUGUAGUGGUGGAGAGACGGGCAGCUCUCCUGUAAUAUUUAUUCUAGGACUUCUAGUUGUGGAGUGCUGUGUUACUGGGAGUUGGCACAUGCCCCUGUUCAUUUUUUGGUGAAUGAGCGCAAUUGCAAAAUGGAGUCUCUCCUGCAGGCCCACUUCCUCUCACCUCCCUCUCCUUUCCAACUAUCUCUGUGUGUCUGUGUUUGGCUGCAUGGUGUAAACAUUAGCCCCUCACAAUGUCCUUCCUAGUGGAUCAAGUCAGAUGCACAUUUGCUUUGGGACACUGUUCCCAUCUCCGCUCUCUCACUGUGGUUUCUGUUUAUAGUGUACAGAGGAAUUAUUUUUUCAAAGGUUGUUGGAUGCUAUCGGAAAAUGUCCUACGCUUUCUGUCUGUUAGCCUUCUCCCCCCCCUUCCAUUGUUGAUAUAAUAUGAUAAACUGUGGACUCCACCCCUUCAGUAGCCUCGGUUUUUAUUCCCCCUCCACCAGUAGCCUGUAUCCCCACUCUUGAAGCCCAUGAUGCUUUUUUACUCACCUUGUCGCACACGUUCCCAAGCCGCCUCGACCACCCUCAAGGAAAACAAGUCACAUUUCAACCUUGUCAUUUUAACCCUCACUCAUUUGUUGCUCUUGUUUUGGUUCCAUGAGAUACUGCUUGUGAAUGCUUUGUUUUGUUAUUACUACCUGCCGGGAUAGACAAAGGCUGAGGGCUGAGCAGCUGUCCACAGAGGAGUGAUAGAGAGGUAGAACUCAGCAGAUUCUCCCACUGCGUCCACUCUUCUCCUGGUCAUGAUCCCAUUAAUCCUGCCGCCGCCGCACAGCGCCCACUCAACCGCUUGUCUGUAAAUCUGAUUCGCUGUGAUGCUUUCCUUGCCCUUCAUGGAUCUGGCGUGCUUGGGACUGCAACACAGGAAAUCUGAACUAAUAAAUACAUUUUUUUGUGUGUGUGUGUUUUAUACAUAAAUGUGAUUUAGCGAAGCCGAGGGGAAUUAGACGUUUGUUGUGGCAGCGGCGGUGAAACAGACCUCAAAGCCACUAAAGUGGCGUUUUAUUCACCAAGAGAUCAGGCGAAUGCUACCAUGAACAAUGAAAUAGGCCGUGCUCAGAGCACUGCUCCCUGUGAGAGUCCAUUCAUUCCAGUAAUACUGUAAUAGUUAUCCUAAUUACACACGCUCCAUUUCAACACCCUGCUAAACACUAAUAUAAGAAGCCUGUAGGAUCCAUAACGAUCCAGUCACUAGGAAAGGGGAUCUCCAUUCAAGUCAAUGUUCAAUGACGGCUGGAACGCCAUUCUAUUGCUUCUAUUUCUAUGGUAGGCUCAUCAAGGUUGACUUGGUUCUGUCCUGUAGUGAUGUCAGUUCAUAUGUUACUGGUGUAUGAAUGUUGUUGACAGGUGACCUGGUUGAUAGGCCCUACUCUCACCACAAUACUGUUGAUGCUCAGCCGUGAUUGGGUGCUGGCACAGAUUACAUGUUUUUUCCCCCCCGUCCUUUUCUCUGAAGUAGAGGGUUUUGGUUUUGUUUGGAAAUAUGUCUUGUUAUACAAUGGGAGAAGAGCCAGUGUUGUCUCACUGUGCUUGAGUCAUUCCUUGUGUUACUCACACCGCGGGAGGACGGAAUGUUCUUGUAGGAUUUCCUUUUCCUGUUUCUUUAUUCAUAACCCCGCCCCCUAAACCCACAUCCCCAGAGUAGCAGCUCAGUAUCAGUCAUCGGUACUUGAAAGAAAGAUGUUUACAGCUUUUUUUUAUUGCUAUGUGUUGUUUUGGUUCAUCCCUCUUUGCCCCGUCCCCCCUUCCCCCCAGGGUUUCUCUCUUAUGUAAAGUGUACAUUGCCACAUUUCUUUUUUUAUACAAUACUGUAACUUGCCUUUGUACAUUUAGGCAAAAAAUAAAUCUUUUUAUGAGACAAUCA